RNAcentral lists this ribosomal RNA (1444 nucleotides) under uncultured organism. RNAcentral describes it as "SSU rRNA". It matches the Rfam family "Bacterial small subunit ribosomal RNA". The record is from RNAcentral.
GAACGCUGGCGGCAUGCCUUACACAUGCAAGUCGAACGGUAACAGGUCUUCGGAUGCUGACGAGUGGCGAACGGGUGAGUAAUACAUCGGAACGUGCCCAGUAAUGGGGGAUAGCUCGGCGAAAGCCGGAUUAAUACCGCAUACGCCCUGAGGGGGAAAGUGGGGGAUCGCAAGACCUCACGUUAUUGGAGCGGCCGAUGGCUGAUUAGCUAGUUGGUAGGGUAAAGGCCUACCAAGGCGACGAUCAGUAGCUGGUCUGAGAGGACGAUCAGCCACACUGGGACUGAGACACGGCCCAGACCCCUACGGGAGGCAGCAGUGGGGAAUUUUGGACAAUGGGGGAAACCCUGAUCCAACAAUGCCGCGUGUGCGAAGAAGGCCUUCGGGUUGUAAAGCACUUUUGCCAGGGAAGAAAUCCUUUGGGCUAAUACCCUAGGGGGAUGACGGUACCUGAAGAAUAAGCACCGGCUAACUACGUGCCAGCAGCCGCGGUAAUACGUAGGGUGCAAGCGUUAAUCGGAAUUACUGGGCGUAAAGCGUGCGCAGGCGGUUGUGUAAGACAGGUGUGAAAUCCCCGGGCUUAACCUGGGAAUUGCGUUUGUGACUGCACGACUAGAGUGUGUCAGAGGGGGGUGGAAUUCCACGUGUAGCAGUGAAAUGCGUAGAUAUGUGGAGGAACACCAAUGGCGAAGGCAGCCCCCUGGGAUAACACUGACGCUCAUGCACGAAAGCGUGGGGAGCAAACAGGAUUAGAUACCCUGGUAGUCCACGCCCUAAACGAUGUCAACUAGUUGUUGGGGAUUUACUUCCUUGGUAACGUAGCUAACGCGUGAAGUUGACCGCCUGGGGAGUACGGCCGCAAGGUUAAAACUCAAAGGAAUUGACGGGGACCCGCACAAGCGGUGGAUGAUGUGGAUUAAUUCGAUGCAACGCGAAAAACCUUACCUACCCUUGACAUGGCAGGAACUUUCCAGAGAUGGAUUGGUGCUCGAAAGAGAACCUGCACACAGGUGCUGCAUGGCUGUCGUCAGCUCGUGUCGUGAGAUGUUGGGUUAAGUCCCGCAACGAGCGCAACCCUUGUCAUUAGUUGCUACGAAAGGGCACUCUAAUGAGACUGCCGGUGACAAACCGGAGGAAGGUGGGGAUGACGUCAAGUCCUCAUGGCCCUUAUGGGUAGGGCUUCACACGUCAUACAAUGGUCGGUACAGAGGGUUGCCAAGCCGCGAGGUGGAGCCAAUCCCAGAAAACCGAUCGUAGUCCGGAUCGCAGUCUGCAACUCGACUGCGUGAAGUCGGAAUCGCUAGUAAUCGCGGAUCAGAAUGCCGCGGUGAAUACGUUCCCGGGUCUUGUACACACCGCCCGUCACACCAUGGGAGUGGGUUCUACCAGAAGUGGCUAGUCUAACCGCAAGGAGGACGGUCACCACGGUAGGAUUCAUGACUGG